Molecule: ribosomal RNA, 429 nt
Filed under: uncultured Gammaproteobacteria bacterium
Lineage: Bacteria; Pseudomonadati; Pseudomonadota; Gammaproteobacteria
Description: bacterial SSU rRNA
Rfam family: Bacterial small subunit ribosomal RNA
Source: RNAcentral
AACGCGAAGAACCUUACCUACCCUUGACAUGCUCGGAAUUUGCUAGAGAUAGUGAAGUGCCUUCGGGAACCGAGACACAGGUGCUGCAUGGCUGUCGUCAGCUCGUGUCGUGAGAUGUUGGGUUAAGUCCCGUAACGAGCGCAACCCUUGUCCUUAGUUGCCAACAGGUAAAGCUGGGAACUCUAGGGAGACUGCCGGUGAUAAGCCGGAGGAAGGUGGGGAUGACGUCAAGUCCUCAUGGCCCUUACGGGUAGGGCUACACACGUGUUACAAUGGGCAGUACAAAGGGAAGCGAAGCCGCGAGGUGUAGCAAAUCUUUUUAAAGCUGUUCGUAGUCCGGAUUGGAGUCUGCAACUCGACUCCAUGAAGUUGGAAUCGCUAGUAAUCGUGGAUCAGAACGCCACGGUGAAUACGUUCCCGGGCCUUGUA